UGGCUCAUUAUAUAAGUUAUCGUUUAUUUGAUAGUACCUUACUACUUGGAUAACCGUGGUAAUUCUAGAGCUAAUACAUGCUAAAAAUCCCGACUUCGGAAGGGAUGUAUUUAUUAGAUUAAAAACCAAUGCCCUUCGGGGCUCACUGGUGAUUCAUGAUAACUCCUCGAAUCGCAUGGCCUUGUGCCGGCGAUGGUUCAUUCAAAUUUCUUCCCUAUCAACUUUCGAUGUUUGGGUAUUGGCCAAACAUGGUUGCAACGGGUAACGGAGGGUUAGGGCUCGACCCCGGAGAAGGAGCCUGAGAAACGGCUACUACAUCCAAGGAAGGCAGCAGGCGCGCAAAUUACCCAAUCCCGACACGGGGAGGUAGUGACAAUAAAUACUGAUACAGGGCUCUUUUGGGUCUUGUAAUUGGAAUGAGUACAAUUUAAAUCCCUUAACGAGGAACAAUUGGAGGGCAAGUCUGGUGCCAGCAGCCGCGGUAAUUCCAGCUCCAAUAGCGUAUAUUAAAGUUGUUGUGGUUAAAAAGCUCGUAGUUGAACCUUGGGCCUGGCUGGCCGGUCCGCCUCACCGCGUGUACUGGUCCGGCCGGGCCUUUCCCUCUGUGGAACCCCAUGCCCUUCACUGGGUGUGGCGGGGAAACAGGACUUUUACUGUGAAAAAAUUAGAGUGCUCCAGGCAGGCCUAUGCUCGAAUACAUUAGCAUGGAAUAAUAGAAUAGGACGUGUGGUUCUAUUUUGUUGGUUUCUAGGACCGCCGUAAUGAUUAAUAGGGACAGUCGGGGGCAUCAGUAUUCAAUUGUCAGAGGUGAAAUUCUUGGAUUUAUUGAAGACUAACUACUGCGAAAGCAUUUGCCAAGGAUGUUUUCAUUAAUCAGGAACGAAAGUUAGGGGAUCGAAGACGAUCAGAUACCGUCGUAGUCUUAACCAUAAACUAUGCCGACUAGGGAUCGGACGGUGUUAUUUUUUGACCCGUUCGGCACCUUACGAGAAAUCAAAGUGCU
Molecule: ribosomal RNA, 1003 nt
Filed under: Fusarium oxysporum
Lineage: Eukaryota; Fungi; Ascomycota; Sordariomycetes; Hypocreales; Nectriaceae
Description: SSU rRNA
Rfam family: Eukaryotic small subunit ribosomal RNA
Source: RNAcentral